Molecule: long non-coding RNA, 227 nt
Filed under: Drosophila guanche
Lineage: Eukaryota; Metazoa; Arthropoda; Insecta; Diptera; Drosophilidae
Source: RNAcentral
GGGGGCACGGCUCAUUGUUAAAAUACUGGUAACAGUGUGAGCAUACAGAAGUCUGGAUGCAAAAUUUGGUUGCUCUAGCUUCUAUGGUCUCUGAGAUUCAUGCGCUCAACAAGACGGAAGGACAGAGGGACGGACAGAUGUUUCCUUCUGUGCGUUACAUACAUUCACUUUGUGCAGAAAUACAAUACUCUUCGAGUACCGGGUAUAAAAACAAACAGUUCAUAAAG